RNAcentral lists this long non-coding RNA (868 nucleotides) under Androctonus crassicauda. Lineage: Eukaryota; Metazoa; Arthropoda; Arachnida; Scorpiones; Buthidae. The record is from RNAcentral.
AGUAUUUACGAAGUAGCCAUAAAAUCUGAAUACAAGCUCUGUAACUUAAGAUUCUGAUUAUUUAAAAUGAAAAUCCAUACUUAUAAUGGCCAUCAUUGGUGCUUUUCAGCAUGACAACCAGUCAUCAGGAUGGAAACAUGCUGUAUAAGACUUGGAAUUAAAUACAAAUAUUCCUAUUGAAUAUUUGUAUUUAAUUCCAGGUCUCAUAGCUCCAUUACAUUAGGACAUUACUCCAUUAUUACAUUAGGAAUGAUGGCCUGUGGGAUCAUUCCUAACUACUUUGUAUUCAAUAUUAAGAAAGCAGCAUAUAAUAUAAAAGAAAAAUAGUAGCCAUGCUGAUCUUCAAUUCUUUUUAUAAAAAAAAUGAUUAUUUAACUGUUGCUUUUGAAAGAAAAUCUGAAAGAUUUUCUCAUCUAAACAUUUUUUCUUGUAACACUAAAUGUGACUUUCCAAAUCAACUGAAGAUAUGUGAAGAGGAGGGUUUUGAGACCAUUUUUUUAACAAAUAAACAUGGUAAUCUAACAAAUAUGGAUAGUAGUAGCUGUUAUAUUUCCGUUUAAUAUGUACUGAUCUUUCUGAUCUACAAUCUGUACAUUUUAAGAUAUUAAUUCUAUAAUUUUUAAUGGUCAAAAGUAUUUUACAGCCAAUUUUGGACAUCACAUUUGUGCUCCUGACAAUUUUAUGUUGAUUGGUUUUCUAUUUUUAUCAGCUGCAAAAAUUUUUUGUUGUACAUCUUCUAUUUUUUAUCAUUUAAAGUUUGUUAAAUAAUUUUUUUUUAAGAUUCAGAAAAAACAGAUACUUUCAACAUUUGUGAUAUUUUCUGUCAAACACUUCAAUAAAAUUUUAUGUGGAAUCCUGCUCUCUAUUC